RNAcentral lists this ribosomal RNA (563 nucleotides) under uncultured bacterium. RNAcentral describes it as "partial 16S ribosomal RNA". It matches the Rfam family "Bacterial small subunit ribosomal RNA", at positions 355 to 1375 of the family's 1533-position model. The record is from RNAcentral.
UGGGGAAUAUUGCACAAUGGGCGAAAGCCUGAUGCAGCAACGCCGCGUGAGUGAUGAAGGCCUUCGGGUUGUAAAGCUCUGUCUUUUGGGACGAUAAUGACGGUACCAAAGGAGGAAGCCACGGCUAACUACGUGCCAGCAGCCGCGGUAAUACGUAGGUGGCAAGCGUUGUCCGGAUUUACUGGGCGUAAAGGAUGCGUAGGCGGAUUUUUAAGUGAGAUGUGAAAUACCCGGGCUUAACUUGGGUGCUGCAUUUCAAACUGGGAAUCUAGAGUGCGGGAGAGGAGAAUGGAAUUCCUAGUGUAGCGGUGAAAUGCGUAGAGAUUAGGAAGAACACCAGUGGCGAAGGCGAUUCUCUGGACCGUAACUGACGCUGAGGCAUGAAAGCGUGGGUAGCAAACAGGAUUAGAUACCCUGGUAGUCCACGCCGUAAACGAUGAGUACUAGGUGUAGGAGGUAUCGACCCCUUCUGUGCCGCAGUUAACACAAUAAGUACUCCGCCUGGGAAGUACGAUCGCAAGAUUAAAACUGCAAAUGAAUUGACGGGGUCAUAGCUGUUUCCU